Oryza brachyantha (malo sina) is the source of this 644-nucleotide long non-coding RNA. RefSeq lists it as uncharacterized. The record is from RefSeq and is a predicted model, not a curated record. NCBI's taxonomy places the organism in Eukaryota, Viridiplantae, Streptophyta, Magnoliopsida, Poales, Poaceae. The transcript is spliced from 3 exons.
GGCUUUUCCUUACCGGUUGCUCUACACAUCCUAUGAUUCUGUCCAAUUCUAAUGGCCAUUACCUCAUGUUCAUCCCAGGACUCUCCAUUCUCACCACAAAAAAAAAAGAGAGAGAAAGAAGGAUGGAAAAUGCCUUCCAGGCAAUCAAUGUGCCAGAUGCAGAAGCAAGACCAGACACGUAGCCAUGGCUACAUCCUGGUGCACUGCACGAACACAUGAGGACACUGGGACGAUUUGGCACUGGCUGAUUGCUGGCUGUGUGUGUCAUGCUUGCCUCCAUGUGAGCCGACGAAGUGACCCCCCUUGGCGGCUGAAUAAAGCGGCUGAUAUGAAUUGAUAAAACUUGCAGGAUUGUUCAGUAUAGUAGGCAGGUUUUCUCUGAAACCGUGGGCAGGUGGUAUAGUGCUAUGGAUAGAUAUGGAGAUAAAUUGUCAUGAAAUUUGUGGAUAUCUUAUCGCCCUCAUGGACACCCUCUUGACCUAUUUCCUCUGUGUGCCUUCUUUUCCAUUUGGUUCACAAGAUACCGGUGAUCUGAUCCCCUGUCCUCCCAUGGCUGUAGGAAAGGCUGCAUGAUAUCUCUUGGAGUUCUGAACUUGAGCUGGGUCAUUGCUGACAGAUCAAUGGCAACGGAAGCUAUGCUUCUG